Molecule: ribosomal RNA, 1372 nt
Filed under: uncultured bacterium
Lineage: Bacteria
Description: bacterial SSU rRNA
Rfam family: Bacterial small subunit ribosomal RNA
Source: RNAcentral
GAUGAACGCUGGCGGCGUGCCUAAUACAUGCAAGUCGAGCGAGCGGACGAGAAGCUUGCUUUUCUGAUGUUAGCGGCGGACGGGUGAGUAACACGUGGAUAACCUACCUAUAAGACUGGGAUAACUUCGGGAAACCGGAGCUAAUACCGGAUAAUAUUUUGAACCGCAUGGUUCAAAAGUGAAAGACGGUCUUGCUGUCACUUAUAGAUGGAUCCGCGCUGCAUUAGCUAGUUGGUAAGGUAACGGCUUACCAAGGCAACGAUGCAUAGCCGACCUGAGAGGGUGAUCGGCCACACUGGAACUGAGACACGGUCCAGACUCCUACGGGAGGCAGCAGUAGGGAAUCUUCCGCAAUGGGCGAAAGCCUGACGGAGCAACGCCGCGUGAGUGAUGAAGGUCUUCGGAUCGUAAAACUCUGUUAUUAGGGAAGAACAUAUGUGUAAGUAACUGUGCACAUCUUGACGGUACCUAAUCAGAAAGCCACGGCUAACUACGUGCCAGCAGCCGCGGUAAUACGUAGGUGGCAAGCGUUAUCCGGAAUUAUUGGGCGUAAAGCGCGCGUAGGCGGUUUUUUAAGUCUGAUGUGAAAGCCCACGGCUCAACCGUGGAGGGUCAUUGGAAACUGGAAAACUUGAGUGCAGAAGAGGAAAGUGGAAUUCCAUGUGUAGCGGUGAAAUGCGCAGAGAUAUGGAGGAACACCAGUGGCGAAGGCGACUUUCUGGUCUGUAACUGACGCUGAUGUGCGAAAGCGUGGGGAUCAAACAGGAUUAGAUACCCUGGUAGUCCACGCCGUAAACGAUGAGUGCUAAGUGUUAGGGGGUUUCCGCCCCUUAGUGCUGCAGCUAACGCAUUAAGCACUCCGCCUGGGGAGUACGACCGCAAGGUUGAAACUCAAAGGAAUUGACGGGGACCCGCACAAGCGGUGGAGCAUGUGGUUUAAUUCGAAGCAACGCGAAGAACCUUACCAAAUCUUGACAUCCUUUGACAACUCUAGAGAUAGAGCCUUCCCCUUCGGGGGACAAAGUGACAGGUGGUGCAUGGUUGUCGUCAGCUCGUGUCGUGAGAUGUUGGGUUAAGUCCCGCAACGAGCGCAACCCUUAAGCUUAGUUGCCAUCAUUAAGUUGGGCACUCUAAGUUGACUGCCGGUGACAAACCGGAGGAAGGUGGGGAUGACGUCAAAUCAUCAUGCCCCUUAUGAUUUGGGCUACACACGUGCUACAAUGGACAAUACAAAGGGCAGCGAAACCGCGAGGUCAAGCAAAUCCCAUAAAGUUGUUCUCAGUUCGGAUUGUAGUCUGCAACUCGACUACAUGAAGCUGGAAUCGCUAGUAAUCGUAGAUCAGCAUGCUACGGUGAAUACGUUCCCGGGUCU